GGUAAGUAAUAAAAGACAGAAUUUUCAUUUUUUUGGGUGAACUAACCCUUUAAUGAAACAUGAAAACUGCUGCUGAUGAAUAGAAUGAACAUCAUACCUGCAUGCAAAUCCUUCCCAGCUAACACAAGACUGACCAGUUAUGUGAUUUAUUAGUACUUUACUUUUUUCAUGACUUACUAAUUGACAACGUAACUACGUAACUACGACAUUGCAUGCUUGUAGUUUCUCUUGCGCUUUAUAUAUGAUUAUAAUUUGAUUAUCAUUUGCACGUGCAAUUGAAGAAUGCGCGCUAUUGAGCGCAGUAUAAUGGCUGACAGGACAGGAAAGUUCGGUUUUCUGAGGUACUCCGCGACCCACUCAGAACGGUCCACUUUUGGGUCUAGUCUUUCAGCUGUUUAACAACUGCAAGUGCAAUACUGUACCAGAAGUGCAGCCUCCAUUCAGGAGUUUGAUGUAGAUGCUGGUAAUACUGCGUGCAAAGUGCCCUCUGGAUGAAAGCAUAUUAGUGAUGCUUACAAGCUACCAAAAGGAAGCCUGCAGGAAGAUUUCAUUGAAAUAAAAAGCCCUGGAGGUUGCAAAGACAAGUUUAGAAAUGACAAGUGGCAUACAGCAAAUCUUCAAGGCUCCCUGUGAACCAUGAGACAGCCAUACUGUUUCCAGUCUCUGUGUGUCCCCUGCAUGAAAGGAAACAGGGUCAGGAACAAUGCCAGAAACAGCGGCAGUCAAAGACUGCUCAACUAUGACAGAAACAAGUGGAUACUACAAGAACCACACAUGUGCUCUUCUCCAAAACCUAGUAAGCAUUAUUUGUGAUAAUGAAGGAAAAAGUAGCUUCCUAGUUUGGGCAAUAUUGCAUGUAUCCUUCAGGGUUAAGCAUACAUUGUGACGAGCAGGAAAAAAUGAAUAAAUAAAAUGUAGGCAGCAAGGUAGCUCACUAGUUUGAGAACAGAUCCAGUGUCUACUGUUCAGUGAAGGUUUUCUUAUGCCUGCAGUUUGCACUGACAUUUCAUAACCUCUCAAUUCUCAGCAUAUUGAGCUUUUUUUACAGUAAGAGGGGAA
Megalobrama amblycephala (Wuchang bream) is the source of this 1059-nucleotide long non-coding RNA. RefSeq lists it as uncharacterized. The transcript has 5 exons. The record is from RefSeq and is a predicted model, not a curated record. Lineage: Eukaryota; Metazoa; Chordata; Actinopteri; Cypriniformes; Xenocyprididae.